Molecule: small nuclear RNA, 144 nt
Organism: Hyphopichia burtonii NRRL Y-1933
Lineage: Eukaryota; Fungi; Ascomycota; Pichiomycetes; Serinales; Debaryomycetaceae
Rfam family: U4 spliceosomal RNA
About the family: U4 small nuclear RNA (U4 snRNA) is a component of the major U2-dependent spliceosome. The structure of U4 snRNA from yeast and human has been reported.
Source: Rfam
AUCUUUAUGCAGGGGCAUUACGUGUAUCAGUGAGGAUUCGUCCGAGAUCAUGUUUUUGCUGGUUGAAAACUAUAACCUGACAGCUCCUUGAUGAUAUGGUCUUUGUAUCAUGAUUGUUAAGGGAAUUUUUGGAGAGCUUUUUCU